Molecule: ribosomal RNA, 448 nt
Filed under: uncultured bacterium
Lineage: Bacteria
Description: partial 16S ribosomal RNA
Rfam family: Bacterial small subunit ribosomal RNA
Source: RNAcentral
GCCAGACUCCUACGGGAGGCAGCAGUGGGGAAUAUUGCACAAUGGGGGAAACCCUGAUGCAGCGACGCCGCGUGAGCGAAGAAGUAUUUCGGUAUGUAAAGCUCUAUCAGCAGGGAAGAAAAAAAUGACGGUACCUGAGUAAGAAGCACCGGCUAAAUACGUGCCAGCAGCCGCGGUAAUACGUAUGGUGCAAGCGUUAUCCGGAUUUACUGGGUGUAAAGGGAGCGUAGGCGGCGCGUUAAGUCUGAUGUGAAAACCCGAGGCUCAACCACGGGAGUGCAUUGGAAACUGGCGGGCUGGAGUGCCGGAGAGGUAAGCGGAAUUCCUAGUGUAGCGGUGAAAUGCGUAGAUAUUAGGAGGAACACCAGUGGCGAAGGCGGCUUACUGGACGGCAACUGACGCUGAGGCGCGAAAGCGUGGGGAGCAAACAGGAUUAGAUACCCCUGUA